RNAcentral lists this unclassified non-coding RNA (231 nucleotides) under uncultured fungus. Its description in RNAcentral is "sequence contains ITS1". Lineage: Eukaryota; Fungi. The record is from RNAcentral.
GUAUUGUAUUGCGUUAAACGCGGCGUACAUUCCACAAGACUUCUUUAACGUGUGUGUGUAAAGACAUAGAACCACGGAAGGGAAGCAGGGCCUCCAGACCACAGAACUACAAAAGGUGCACAGGGGUGGGUGGAUGUGUAAACAGAGCGUGCACAUGCCCCCGUUUGAAGGCCAGCAACAACCCGUGUCAACAAUUCGGUAAUGAUCCUUCCGCAGGUUCACCUACGGAAA